GCGGAUGAUAGCUCUCAUAUGGAGACGGAAGAAAAUGUGUUCAAGGUGCCCCAGAGAAAGAGACGGAGAAAUCGUCCUCAUGCACAGGCUAAGAGGAAAGGUGGCGCAGAGGAGCUGAAUUCUGGGGAGGUAGAGAGUGAGAGUGAAGCCUCCGACUGCAGUAUAACAUGUAGUGUAAAUCUAAGUGGCUUUUCGAGCCAUGAAUAUAGCGUGGACGACAUCAAGGUGUUUCUGAGAAAGACUAAGCAUGCUAGGAAUGUGAGGAUAGACGAGUUUUUCCCAGAUGUGGAACAGUUCAUUAGAAAAACACGUGGAGGAAAGAUGGCGUAGAGGAGCUGAAUUCUGGGGAGGUAGAGAGUGAGAGUGAAGCCUCCGACUGCAGUAUAA
Ictalurus punctatus (channel catfish) is the source of this 387-nucleotide long non-coding RNA. NCBI's taxonomy places the organism in Eukaryota, Metazoa, Chordata, Actinopteri, Siluriformes, Ictaluridae. The record is from Ensembl.